UGGGGAAUAUUGGACAAUGGGCGAAAGCCUGAUCCAGCAAUGCCGCGUGUGUGGUGAAGGGUUUCGGCUCGUAAAGCUCUGUUGUUAGAGAAGAAUGACAUUGAGAGUAACUGUUCAAUGUGUGACGGUAUCUUACCAGAAAGGAACGGCUAAAUACGUGCCAG
RNAcentral lists this ribosomal RNA (164 nucleotides) under uncultured bacterium. Its description in RNAcentral is "partial 16S ribosomal RNA". It matches the Rfam family "Bacterial small subunit ribosomal RNA", at positions 355 to 511 of the family's 1533-position model. The record is from RNAcentral.